RNAcentral lists this ribosomal RNA (375 nucleotides) under uncultured organism. RNAcentral describes it as "partial 16S ribosomal RNA". It matches the Rfam family "Bacterial small subunit ribosomal RNA", at positions 527 to 896 of the family's 1533-position model. The record is from RNAcentral.
GGGGGGGGCAAGCGUUUGUUCGGAUUUACUGGGCGUAAAGGGCUCGUAGGCGGCCAUUUAAGUCGGUUGUGAAAUCCCUCGGCUCAACCGGGGAACUGCGACCGAUACUGAGUGGCUUGAAGCCGGGAGAGGGAUGCGGAAUUCCAGGUGUAGCGGUGAAAUGCGUAGAUAUCUGGAGGAACACCCGUGGCGAAGGCGGCAUCCUGGACCGGUCUUGACGCUGAGGAGCGAAAGCUAGGGUAGCAAACGGGAUUAGAUACCCCGGGUAGUCCUAGCCCUAAACGAUGAAUGCUUGGUGUGGCGGGUAUCGAUCCCCUGCCCGUGCCGUAGCUAACGCGUUAAGCAUUCCGCCUGGGGAGUACGGUCGCAAGGCUG